AUUGAACGCUGGCGGCAGGCCUAACACAUGCAAGUCGAACGGUAACAGGAAGCAGCUUGCUGCUUUGCUGACGAGUGGCGGACGGGUGAGUAAUGUCUGGGAAACUGCCCGAUGGAGGGGGAUAACUACUGGAAACGGUAGCUAAUACCGCAUAACGUCGCAAGACCAAAGAGGGGGACCUUAGGGCCUCUUGCCAUCGGAUGUGCCCAGAUGGGAUUAGCUAGUAGGUGGGGUAACGGCUCACCUAGGCGACGAUCCCAGCUGGUCUGAGAGGAUGACCAGCCACACUGGAACUGAGACACGGUCCAGACUCCUACGGGAGGCAGCAGUGGGGAAUAUUGCACAAUGGGCGCAAGCCUGAUGCAGCCAUGCCGCGUGUAUGAAGAAGGCCUUCGGGUUGUAAAGUACUUUCAGCGGGGAGGAAGGGAGUAAAGUUAAUACCUUUGCUCAUUGACGUUACCCGCAGAAGAAGCACCGGCUAACUCCGUG
This 489-nucleotide ribosomal RNA is filed under the name uncultured bacterium. Its description in RNAcentral is "partial 16S ribosomal RNA". It matches the Rfam family "Bacterial small subunit ribosomal RNA", at positions 30 to 507 of the family's 1533-position model. The record is from RNAcentral.